UACGAGGGGGGCAAGCGUUGUUCGGAAUUAUUGGGCGUAAAGGGUGCGUAGGCGGUUUGAUAAGUCACAUGUGAAAUCUUCGGGCUCAACCCGAAGUCUGCAUGCGAAACUGUCGGGCUUGAGUAUGGGAGAGGUGAGUGGAAUUUCCGGUGUAGCGGUGAAAUGCGUAGAUAUCGGAAGGAACACCUGUGGCGAAAGCGGCUUCCUGGUCCAGUACCGACGUUCAGGCACGAAAGCGUGGGGAGCAAACAGG
Molecule: ribosomal RNA, 253 nt
Filed under: uncultured bacterium
Lineage: Bacteria
Description: partial 16S ribosomal RNA
Rfam family: Bacterial small subunit ribosomal RNA
Source: RNAcentral